This is a long non-coding RNA of Macaca fascicularis (crab-eating macaque), 1612 nucleotides long. Lineage: Eukaryota; Metazoa; Chordata; Mammalia; Primates; Cercopithecidae. The record is from Ensembl.
UUUUUUUUUUUUUUUUGAGACAAGGUCUUGCUGUGUUGACCAGGUUGGUCUUGAACUGCUGGCCUUAAAUGAUCCUUCCAUGUCAGUCUCCCAUUACAGAUAUGAGCCACUACACCUAGCCAAAAUGUUUCUUGAGGGAACAAAACCUUAUGUCUGAUUGACACACUUAAACACCAAGGGACUAUCUUUUAAUGGAAUGCUAUUGUGUUCUGAGGCAUGACAUUAAUAUCCUCAUAGGCUGGCCUGUUUCAUACACCUGACAUCCUGAAACAUGAACUGCUGUCCUUGGCACAAGUAUCAAUGUGUGGCUUUACCAGUGCAAGUUUUGGGGUUUUUCUUUCUCACUUCAACUAGAAGGUAAGUAGUUACCCACGAAGUAAUGCAAAUUCCUUCCCUCUAACCUACAAAAUUUAAUACUAAACUUAGAAAGUUACAGGUUUUAAAACCUUUUUUCUUUAACCUAAGAACUACUGUUUCAGCUCAAAUGUAAUUAUGCAUCAAAAUCAUAUCAAAUCAAUAAAAUAAAAUGACAUCCUCUAAAUCUUUAAGUUUCAAUGUGUUUUCCAACACAGUUUAACUAAGGAAUAAUAUCUAGGAUGUUCGUCUAAGAAAAGGAAUAUACCCUCCUGCUGCCACAUACCAAAUGCCCUUGUAUUUGUUUAAAACAGUAUUCUGGAAAGGAUAGAAAAAUGAAACUAGAAGAGUCCCUUGCUAUCUUCUAGCCUAACUCUUAUGUGAUGAAGGAAAAUCUGGAAUUAAAAAGCUAUUGUUUGUUAGGAUUAACGGCUGUUGGAUUGCUCGAAAGACACUCCUAAAAUUACAUGGAUGGACAAACAGCCUGAAUAAAGAAAUGAGCAAACUUUCCCAAGAGUUUCCUUGGCUGGCUGGGUCACUGACUGACAGCUGACAAGGUUUUCAAUAAUGUGACUCAGCUGGUUCUAUAAUGCUGUGUGCCUCAAACAUAAUUAAAAGUGUUAAGAAUUUUGUAGCCUUUAUCAGAACAUAUUCUCCCCACAUGCCUUCAGUGACCUGGUCACAAUUACUAGAGACAAAUAACUCUCUCAUUUUACUCUGUGUAUUAAGGUCAUUGUACCCUAGGCAACUUUCCUGACUGUAUCUUCUCCAGAUCUAGGAGACUCCAAAACCUACCCAGAUGAAUUGUGUGGGGUCACUUCAGCAACAUCCCUUUUCUUUCUCAGGAUGACAGCAAACAAUUAGCGUUCUUGGAUAUUUUUGGAGAGGAGAAAUGCAUAUGGUUUUGGUCAUUUUAUAUCAGCCACUUUUGUUAGUCCAUCCACACAUUAAUGAAAUGAGAUAGGACUUGCAGAGCUGAAAGGGACUUGAGAAAUCAUCAGGUUGCCCCUAACAUUUUACAUUUUGGAAGUCGGGGGCUAUAAAUGUCAAAUGGCUUAUGAGCAUCUGAGUCUUCUAACUGCUAGUGCACUCUUCCUAUGCCACACUAUAAAAACGUGAGUCUGUAUCUUUGCAUCCAGAGCUGGGAUAACCAUGAAGAUCACGCACGUCAAAUUCAGGGUAUAAAAAUAGUUAUUAGUGACCAAGAUGAGACAAUGCCGAGUAUUCUUGAGAUGAGAGUAAACGCUUAUUAAGCACC